Long non-coding RNA from Alnus glutinosa, 2145 nucleotides. RefSeq lists it as uncharacterized. NCBI's taxonomy places the organism in Eukaryota, Viridiplantae, Streptophyta, Magnoliopsida, Fagales, Betulaceae. The transcript is spliced from 4 exons. The record is from RefSeq and is a predicted model, not a curated record.
CCAAAGACUUCAUCUGCAAAAUCGUGUAUUUUGCUUUUAGGUAUAAAAAGAUUGAGCCAUGGGUGUGGAACUUCCCACAAGCCUUUUGACCGUAAUUUGACUUCGGACACAUGCACCCUGUCCAGGAAUUCUAGGAAAUUUACCCUGAUGGUGGGCCGUUGCACGCCUACCUGAUUUGCUACUUCUGUCUCGUCUAGGUGGAAGUAUUUGGCCAAUUCCAGGCAGAAGAGUGUCCUUCCAUCUGAAUUGAACCGGCUGGCUUGAACUGGGUCUUGCGGAUUAAAUGAUGAUCUCCAGUUAUUCAGCAGGCCGGUCCUGUUUAUUAUCACAAAUCCUUCAACGUGCUGGUUCCAGCAAUAUUCUUGCUCGGGUUAUAAUGCCGAACUGUCCAAGUCCUCCAAGAACACCGUGAAAGAGGUCGCCAUUCUGCUUCUCCGAACAAGUUACAACCUCCCCUUUUCCUGCACACAUUUUGGCUCCACGUUUCAGCUUUCAUGCAGGAUAUUUAUCCACAGCUCACCACCAGAGACAUCCACAUAUGGAGAAUUUCCAGUGGAAACCUGCAUAUCUGGCCCUUGGAGCGAUUCCAUGUUAAUCACAAUUCCUCGAUGUGCUUGUGAUUGGCCUUGGAGUGAGUGGCCAUGGCCUCUAGCUGCAACUGUGAGCCCUGAAUGAGGACCCAUCUGCCAAAUAUGCUUUAUAGUAGUGGUGAUAUCAGAAACUGACUUUGGAUGCAGUACUGCUGCUGGGAGGAACUGGUACCUGUUGCCAAAAUCUCUGGCUGCAAGGUGAACUUCGUCAAAGUUGAAAUGCCCAUCAAGGGGAAUUGCUUUUAAUGUAGAAGGGAUGCUGGAAAAACAAAGGUUUAUUUUGAUAGUUACACAGCUUAAGAACAAGAUCAUGAAGCCUCUUAUGAGAAGAAUGUUGUUUGGUCUGAGGAAGCUAGCUGGUGGGUAUCCCAUAUUUUUUGUUUCGUCAGAAGAGAUGGGGGAAGCAAAGGUGAAAGGAGUUUAAUCCUAUAACUUUGUUUCUUUGUGAGCAAAAGCAAAAGGAGAGGCCUGGAAGAGCCAAGGAAAUGAAGGGUUGGGGAGAGAAUUUAAAGGGGAAGGUUUGGUUGGCUAAGUCAACGUAUCUUCAGUUGUGAGAAUCCGUAUGAAGACUGCCUACUUGGGUGGAAGAGUUUUAGAAUUUUCUUUUAGUUCUCCUUUUUAAGCCCUUAUGUAUAUAAGAGAAGCAAACACAUAUAUGUCAAGUUGGAGAGAAAAGUCGAAAGAAGAUUGCACAGAUCUUUGCACUUUUUCUAACAGUUGCAACCACAAACCCACCUUUUCCAUCAAAGACAAACAUGUCUCGUGUAUUUUUUCAUUAACCAUGUUAAGGAUCGUUUUCCCUUAUUUAGAAAAAAUAGUCUCUCUACCAGAAGGUGUAUUUUUCUGCCUCUGAUGACCUGUGUGCCCAUACCCGUGUCUUACUCACAUGAAUGAUGAUUGUAUUCUUUUCUGAAUCCAUUGUUGUCGGAAUGUUGACACCGUGAAUCUACAUUCAGAUCGAAUGAGAGAGACUAGCGGGCCUGCCUUGAUUCAAUUCACAGGGGGAGAGAUGGACCAGUGGGGUAUCAAGGGUCCAUAGAACACGUGAAAUUCAAAUGGAUGAUGUGUGCUUUGUGGGGGGAAAGCCGAUGAUUGGUUAUGUUGGGACCCUUUGGGGCCACAGUUAUUGUCUUGGAGAAGAGUGAACAUGGGGAUUACAGCAGGGAGGAAGCAGUACUGAAAGAUUGCUCUUUUGCUUAUCUUCUGCUAUUGCUUUGAUGCCUUAGUUCCCAUCAAUCGGACAAGUUUGAAGGAUUCUCUUGUUUAUAUGUUUUUAUGUGCAAUCAAAUGUUUUUGUGCUCUUAUGGCAGAUUCUCUUUGUUUAUAUGUUUUUGUGCGCAAUUAAAUUACUCUAGUGCAAUUACCACUUUUCCACUUUUUGCUGCAACUUGUGUAUGAGCCACCAAUAGGAAAUCUGCAACUGCAAGAGUAAGCAGCAUCUCCCCCUUUUCCCUUUUACAGGCAAAUUAAUCUGUCGCCUCCUGCGCUUUGGCCUCAAAAUGCUUGUAUGCUUCCUCUGUUCUUGAAAGUAAACUGUGUGCUGUAAUGGUUUUUA